AGUGAACGCUGGCGGUAGGCCUAACACAUGCAAGUCGAACGGCAGCACAGGAGAGCUUGCUCUCUGGGUGGCGAGUGGCGGACGGGUGAGGAAUACAUCGGAAUCUACUCUGUCGUGGGGGAUAACGGAGGGAAACUUACGCUAAUACCGCAUACGACCUGCGGGUGAAAGCAGGGGAUCUUCGGACCUUGCGCGAUUGAAUGAGCCGAUGUCGGAUUAGCUAGUUGGCGGGGUAAAGGCCCACCAAGGCGACGAUCCGUAGCUGGUCUGAGAGGAUGAUCAGCCACACUGGAACUGAGACACGGUCCAGACUCCUACGGGAGGCAGCAGUGGGGAAUAUUGGACAAUGGGCGCAAGCCUGAUCCAGCCAUACCGCGUGGGUGAAGAAGGCCUUCGGGUUGUAAAGCCCUUUUGUUGGGAAAGAAAUCCAGCUGGCUAAUACCCGGUUGGGAUGACGGUACCCAAAGAAUAAGCACCGGCUAACUUCGUGCCAGCAGCCGCCGUAA
RNAcentral lists this ribosomal RNA (506 nucleotides) under uncultured bacterium. Its description in RNAcentral is "partial 16S ribosomal RNA". It matches the Rfam family "Bacterial small subunit ribosomal RNA", at positions 29 to 523 of the family's 1533-position model. The record is from RNAcentral.